AAUUGCUAGUAAUGGCAGGUCAGCAUACUGCCGUGAAUACGUUCCCGGGCCUUGUACACACCGCCCGUCACACCAUGAGAGUUGGGAAUACCCGAAGCCUGUGAGCUAACUUUUAGAGGCAGCAGUCGAAGGUAGAAUCAAUGAUUGGGGUGAAGUCGUAACAAGGUAGC
RNAcentral lists this ribosomal RNA (170 nucleotides) under uncultured bacterium. RNAcentral's name for it is "partial 16S ribosomal RNA". It matches the Rfam family "Bacterial small subunit ribosomal RNA", at positions 1330 to 1500 of the family's 1533-position model. The record is from RNAcentral.